AUGCUCACUUUUGCAGCACAUGUAUCAAAAGUGGAAUGAUACAGAGAUUAGCAUGGCCUGUGCACAAGGAUGACACUCAAAUUGGUGAAGUGUCCCAUAUUUUC
This 104-nucleotide small nuclear RNA is filed under the name Castor canadensis (American beaver). Lineage: Eukaryota; Metazoa; Chordata; Mammalia; Rodentia; Castoridae. The record is from RNAcentral.